GGCUACGGUCACACCACCCUGAACGCGCCCGAUCUCGUCUGGUCUGGGGAGCUGAGCAGGGUCGGGCCUGGUUAGUACUUGGAUGGGAGAACAAACAUGUGUGCCAUCUGGCUGUAUUUU
This 120-nucleotide ribosomal RNA is filed under the name Chinchilla lanigera (long-tailed chinchilla). Lineage: Eukaryota; Metazoa; Chordata; Mammalia; Rodentia; Chinchillidae. The record is from RNAcentral.